This 402-nucleotide ribosomal RNA is filed under the name uncultured bacterium. RNAcentral describes it as "bacterial SSU rRNA". It matches the Rfam family "Bacterial small subunit ribosomal RNA", at positions 917 to 1322 of the family's 1533-position model. The record is from RNAcentral.
GGGCCCGCACAAGCGGUGGAGCAUGUGGUUUAAUUCGAUGAUACGCGAGGAACCUUACCAGGGCUUAAUGUAAGUUGCAUAAGCUAGAGAUAGCUUUUUCUUCGGACUACUUACAAGGUGCUGCAUGGUUGUCGUCAGCUCGUGCCGUGAGGUGUCAGGUUAAGUCCUAUAACGAGCGCAACCCCUGUUGUUAGUUGCCAUCGAGUAAUGUCGGGAACUCUAACAAGACUGCCGGUGCAAACCGUGAGGAAGGUGGGGAUGACGUCAAAUCAUCACGGCCCUUACGUCCUGGGCUACACACGUGCUACAAUGGCCGGUACAGAGAGCAGCCACUACGCGAGUAGGAGCGAAUCUCUUAAAGCUUGUCCCAGUUCGGAUAGGAGUCUGCAACUCGACUCCUUG